RNAcentral lists this long non-coding RNA (1160 nucleotides) under Homo sapiens (human). Its description in RNAcentral is "HSALNT0033346". The record is from RNAcentral. Lineage: Eukaryota; Metazoa; Chordata; Mammalia; Primates; Hominidae.
CCUCAUCCUCGAGCCCCACUACUCAGAGGAGCUGGGAAGAAUUUCCACCCUUCCUAGUGGCAAGUCUCACUGUGAGAGCGGAGUGCCACCAGGCAAACAGGGCAGAAAGACUGCUUUAAGGAGAAUCCUUAUAUUGGGGGUUAUGAAGUGCAAUACACCCUCAUCCUCACGCUAACACUGGUACCAUGUAGCCCAAGCUUGUCUAACCUGCAGCCCGCGGGCUGUGUAUGGCCCAGGACAGCUCUGAAUGUGGCCCAACGCAAAUUUGUAAACUUUCUAAAACAUUAUGAGAUUUUUUUUUCUCAUCAGCUAUCAUCAGUGUGAGUGUAUGUUAUUUGUGACUCAAGACAAUCCUUCUUUUCCAAUGUGGCCCAGAGAAGCCAAAAGACUGGACACCCCUGAUGUGGCCCUUUCAUCCAUAGUAGCCUAUUUUGUCCUAAAGACGGUCUUGUGCAGUGAGUAGGCCAGGCCUCCCCACUACCACAGUUUACAGGCAAGGAAUGUGAUAUUUCAUAGGAUGACCCUGACUGGCACCUACAUUGCUAGCCAAAGAAUGGCACAAAGAUGUGGACAGAAGAGACAACCUUAAGCAGCUGACUGCUGGCUCCUGCAACAGUAUCAUCAUGGCAUUUGUCCUGGGGUCCCAAGGAAAGAAAACAAAUCUGUGGCUGAGGAACAGACUGAGUUGACAAAGCAGCUUCCACAGUAACACAAGGACAAAGGGUGUAUGUAGAUAUGCACGUGGUAGCAGGUUCUACUAAAGGAACCUGGACCGACCAUUCGCACUCACAUUCUUUGGGAGCUGUAUUCUAAUACUUUCAGAAAAGCCAUGGGAACACACCAGAGUGACUGCUCGAGUAAAUAAGUAGCAUAAACAGCAAGCCAAACCAUUGAUGUACACAUCACUGGGCCCAAUACUAUGAAAUCCCACAUAAGAAACUUGAAAGUGAAAGCUGGAAUUCUGAGGAUACUGGUUUUGCUUAAUAAACAGCAUUUCAACAGGUGAGUCAACUUAGUGUUAUUGUCAUGAUAUUGCUACUGAUGCUGAACAAAGACCCAAGAACCAGGGUGAUGUUUAGCAUGGGCUGGCCUCAGCAGGACUGAAAGGACAUCAAUAAGGGAGAACAGAGAGAAGGAAGGAGGACAAGUGCCAACUUUGA